This 460-nucleotide ribosomal RNA is filed under the name uncultured bacterium. RNAcentral describes it as "partial 16S ribosomal RNA". It matches the Rfam family "Bacterial small subunit ribosomal RNA", at positions 338 to 795 of the family's 1533-position model. The record is from RNAcentral.
CCUACGGGAGGCUGCAGUGAGGAAUAUUGGUCAAUGGACGAGAGUCUGAACCAGCCAAGUCGCGUGAAGGAUGACUGCCCUAUGGGUUGUAAACUUCUUUUAUAUGGGAAUAAAAUGUUCCACGUGUGGGAUUUUGUAUGUACCAUAUGAAUAAGGAUCGGCUAACUCCGUGCCAGCAGCCGCGGUAAUACGGAGGAUCCGAGCGUUAUCCGGAUUUAUUGGGGUUAAAGGGAGCGUAGGUGGAUUGUUAAGUCAGUUGUGAAAGUUUGCGGCUCAACCGUAAAAUUGCAGUUGAAACUGGGAGUCUUGAGUACAGUAGAGGUGGGCGGAAUUCGUGGUGUAGCGGUGAAAUGCUUAGAUAUUACGAAGAACUCCGAUUGUGAAGGCAGCUCACUGGACUGCAACUGACACUGAGGCUCGAAAGUGUGGGUAUCAAACAGGAUUAGAUACCCUAGUAGUC